This 2408-nucleotide long non-coding RNA is filed under the name Ananas comosus (pineapple). RNAcentral's name for it is "long non-coding RNA (ACOM_LNC003524)". Lineage: Eukaryota; Viridiplantae; Streptophyta; Magnoliopsida; Poales; Bromeliaceae. The record is from RNAcentral.
CCAAAACCGGAAGAACAUUACACUACUCACUUGCGCCCUAAUAGUAUAAAUUUGCAACGAGUACUUUUUCUCAUUUUAUCGAACAAAGAGUAAAAGCUAAUUAUAUUGUCCUAUUAUGCCCCGAGAGUGUAAAUUUGGAAAGAAUUGAUGUCAACGUUCACAAGAACCAAAAUCGGAACAACAUUAGACUACACAGUUGCGCCCUAACAGUAUAACUUUGCAACGAGUAUUUUUUCUCAAUUAAUUGAACAAAGAGUAAAAGCUAAUUAUAUUGUUCGAUUAAGCCCCGAGAGUGUAAAUUUGGAACGAAUCGAUGUCAACGUUCACAAGAACCAAAGCCGGAACAACAUUAGACUACUCAGUUGCGCCCUAACAGUAUAACUUUGCAAUGAGUACUUUUUCUCAUUUAAUCGAACAAAGAGUAAAACCUAAUUAAAUUGUUCGAUUAAGCCCCGAGAGUGUAAAGUUGGAACGAAUAGAUGUCAACGUUCACACAAACCAAAAUCGGAACAACAUUAGACUACUCACUUACACCCUAACAGUAUAAAUUUGCAACCAGUACUUUUUCUCAUUCUAUCGAACAAAGAGAAAAAGCUAAUUAUAUUGUUCUAUUAUGCCCCGAGAGUGUAAAUUUGGAACGAAUUGAUGUAAAUGUUCACAAGAAUCAAAACCGGAACCACAUUAGACUACUCACUUGCGCCCUAACAGUAUAACAUCGCAACAACUACUUUUUCUCAUUCAAUCGAAAAAAUAGUAAAACCUAAUUAUAUUGUUCUAUUAAGCCCCGAGAGUGUAAAGUUGGAACGAAUCGAUGUCAACGUUCACAAAAACCAAAACCGAAACAACAUUAGACUACUCAGUUGCGCCGAAACAGUAUAACUUUGCAACGAGUACUUUUUCUCAUUCAAUAGAACAAAGAGUAAAACCUAAUUAUAUUUUUCUAUUAAGCUCCGAGAGUAUAAAUUUGGAACGAAUCGAUGUCAACGUUCACAAGAACCAAAACCGGAACAACUUUAGAUUACACUGUUCCGCCCAACCAGUAUAACUUUACAACGAGUACUUUUUUUCAUUCAAUCAAACAAAGUGUAAAACCAAAUUAUAUUGUUCUAUUAUGCCCCGAGAUAGUAAAAUUGGAACGAAUCGAUGUCAACGUUGACAAGAACCAAAAUCGGAACAACAGAAGACUACUUACUUGCGCCCUAACAGUAUAAAUUUGCAACGAGUACUUUUUCUCAUUCUAUCGAACAAAGAGUAAAAGCUUAUUAUAUUGUUCUAUUAUGCCCCGAGAGUGUAAAUUUGGAACGAAUCGAUGUCAAAGUUCACAGGAACCAAAUCCGGAACAACAUUAGACUGCUCACUUGCGCCCUGACAGUAUUAAUUUGCAACGAGUACUUUUCCUCAUUCUAUCGAACAAAGCGUAAAAGCUAAUUAUAUUGCGCCCCGAGAGUGUAAAUUUGGAACGAAUCGAUGUCAACGUUCACAAGAACCAAAACCGGAACAACUUUAGAUUCCUCAGUUGUGCCCUAACAGUAUAACUUUGCAACGAGUACUUUUUCUCAUUUUAUCAAACAGCGAGUAAAAGCUAAUUAUAUUGUUCGAUUAAGCCCCGAGAGUGUAAAUUUGGAACGAAUCGAUGUCAACGUUCACAAGAACCAAAACCGGAACAACAUUAGACUACUCAGUUGCGCCCUAACAGUAUAACUUUGCAAUGAGUACUUUUUCUCAUUUAAUCGAACAAAGAGUAAAACCUAAUUAAAUUGUUUGAUUAAGCCCCGAGAGUGUAAAGUUGGAACGAAUAGAUAUCAACGUUCACACAAACCAAAAUCGGAACAACAUUAGACUACUCACUUACACCCUAACAGUAUAAAUUUGCAACCAGUACUUUUUCUCAUUCUAUCGAACAAAGAGAAAAAGCUAAUUAUAUUGUUCUAUUAUGCCCCGAGAGUGUAAAUUUGGAACGAAUUGAUGUCAACGUUCACAAGAAUCAAAACCGGAACCACAUUAGACUGCUCACUUGCGCCCUAACAGUAUAACUUCGCAACAACUACUUUUUCUCAUUCAAUCGAACAAAUAGUAAAACCUAAUUAUAUUGUUCUAUUAAGCCCCGAGAGUGUAAAUUUGGAACGAAUUGAUGUCAACGUUCCAAAUUUAUUGUUCGAUUAGACACAACUACUCAGUUGCGUCCUAACAGUAUAACUUUGCAACGAGUACUUUUUCUCAUUUAAUCGAAUAAAGAGUAAAACCUAAUUAAAUUGUUCGAUUAAGCCCCGAGAGUGUAAAGUUGGAACGAAUCGAUGUCAACGUUCACAAAACCAAAACCAGAACAAUAUUAGACUACUCAGUUGCGCCCAAAUAGUAUAACUUUGCAACGAGUACUUUUUCUCAUUCAAUCGAACAAAGAGUAAAAC